Molecule: ribosomal RNA, 727 nt
Filed under: Parastalita stygia
Lineage: Eukaryota; Metazoa; Arthropoda; Arachnida; Araneae; Dysderidae
Description: partial large subunit ribosomal RNA
Rfam family: Eukaryotic large subunit ribosomal RNA (bases 422-727)
Source: RNAcentral
UGUGGCGGGGGAUUCAGUCGGGAGGUGCGGAGGCGCCGGCGGGUCUGUUCUGACGGACCCCUCUCGCGGGGCCGGGCCCUCGGCGCGGUCUCCGCUUCACCCGACGCAUUUCCUCCCGCACCGAGGACGUCGCAGCAGCUAUCCGACCGCGGGAGUUGCGAACCGCGGGAGCUGGAAGUUAGCUGGUGGGGAUGUUCUCGGGUCCUUCCGCCGGUUGUUGGCCGGUCAGCCCGUGGCGCGACACCCGACCGAGGUCGAUCGGUUCCCCUCUUGGGAACUCGCCGUCCCCUUCCCUGUUUUGGGCAGCUGGCGCCUUCGGCAGGCGGUCCGCGGGCCGCCGCUGGCCAGAAGCGUCCUGUGGCGGCGCACGCGGCUUGCGGCGAGCGGGUCGGUCAUCCACCCGACCCGUCUUGAAACACGGACCAAGGAGCCUAACAUGUGCGCGAGUCAAGGGGUCUUGAUCAGGCGCAGGGGCGCAAUGAAAGUGAAGGCCGGCCCCCGAGCCGACCGCAUUUUGAUUUCCCGCCCCCUUCGUGGUGCGGGGAGGCACCAACGGCCCGUCCUGUCCGAUUUAUCGGUCAGACGAAGUCCGAGUGCACACGUUGGGACCCGAAAGAUUGUGAACUAUGCCUGGGCAGGACGAAGCCAGAGGAAACUCUGGUGGAGGUCCGUAGCGGUUCUAACGUGAAAAAUCGAUCGUCAGACUCGGAUAUAGUCGAAAGACUAA